RNAcentral lists this long non-coding RNA (102 nucleotides) under Propithecus coquereli (Coquerel's sifaka). RNAcentral's name for it is "FAM13A antisense RNA 1 conserved region 1 (ENSPCOG00000006784.1)". It matches the Rfam family "FAM13A antisense RNA 1 conserved region 1". The record is from RNAcentral. Lineage: Eukaryota; Metazoa; Chordata; Mammalia; Primates; Indriidae.
AGAAUUGCAGGAAUCAUAAUAACUGAAGUUUUAGGAGUAACUUGAGUCAUAAUUUGACGCUGAAUCAGAGAAAACAAGUGUUUGGGCUUUUCUGACACAGAG